Gallus gallus (chicken) is the source of this 72-nucleotide non-coding RNA. NCBI's taxonomy places the organism in Eukaryota, Metazoa, Chordata, Aves, Galliformes, Phasianidae. The record is from Rfam.
UCCCUGGUGGUCUAGUGGCUAGGAUUCGGCGCUUUCACCGCCGCGGCCCGCGUUCGAUUCCCGGUCAGGGAA